UCGCAUUUGUGAUUUUACCCUUGUUGUUGUUUCCGAAGGUGACAUAGCCUUCGUCUUUGCUAGUGAGCUUAGAGAAUUGAGAUGGAUCUCCGGUCAUAUGCCUUGAGCAUCCACUAUCAAGGUACCAUCUCUUGCUCCUAGCUUGCGAUGGUGUGGGUUUCUACAAGAAAGGAUGAUUUUUAGGUACCCAUUUGCUUUUGGGUGUCUCAAAGAUAGAUCUACAUUGUUUAUCAUGUUGCAUAGAGUUUAUCAUGGUUCCUUUAGGAACCCAAAUCAAUUUGUUUGGACUAAUUUUCUUAAAUGGACAAUAAUACGUCUUGUGUCCAAUUUUGCAACAAAAGUUACAUUUUGCUUGGUGUUGAACAUGUAAGAUGGGGCCUUUUAUAAAGGUGGUUGGAUUUAGG
RNAcentral lists this long non-coding RNA (404 nucleotides) under Musa acuminata (dwarf banana). Its description in RNAcentral is "long non-coding RNA (MACU_LNC011073)". The record is from RNAcentral. Lineage: Eukaryota; Viridiplantae; Streptophyta; Magnoliopsida; Zingiberales; Musaceae.